This 73-nucleotide transfer RNA is filed under the name Trachymyrmex cornetzi. It matches the Rfam family "tRNA". From Rfam's summary of the family: Transfer RNA (tRNA) molecules are approximately 80 nucleotides in length. Their secondary structure includes four short double-helical elements and three loops (D, anti-codon, and T loops). Further hydrogen bonds mediate the characteristic L-shaped molecular structure. tRNAs have two regions of fundamental functional importance: the anti-codon, which is responsible for specific mRNA codon recognition, and the 3' end, to which the tRNAs corresponding amino acid is attached (by aminoacyl-tRNA synthetases). tRNAs cope with the degeneracy of the genetic code in two manners: having more than one tRNA (with a specific anti-codon) for a particular amino acid; and 'wobble' base-pairing, i.e. permitting non-standard base-pairing at the 3rd anti-codon position. The record is from Rfam by way of RNAcentral. Lineage: Eukaryota; Metazoa; Arthropoda; Insecta; Hymenoptera; Formicidae.
AUCUCGGUGGUCUAAAGGCUUAGGACGCUCGCCCGAAAAGCAAGAAAUUUGGGUUCGACUCCCGGCUAAAGUA